UACGUAGGGCGCAAGCGUUGUCCGGAAUUAUUGGGCCUAAAGCAUCCGUAGCCGGUUCUACAAGUCUUCCGUUAAAUCCAACUGCUUAACAGGUGGGCUGCGGAAGAUACUAUAGAGCUAGGAGGCGGGAGAGGCAAGCGGUACUCGAUGGGUAGGGGUAAAAUCCGUUGAUCCAUUGAAGACCACCAGUGGCGAAGGCGGCUUGCCAGAACGCGCUCGACGGUGAGGGAUGAAAGCUGGGGGAGCAAACCGG
RNAcentral lists this ribosomal RNA (253 nucleotides) under uncultured bacterium. Its description in RNAcentral is "partial 16S ribosomal RNA". It matches the Rfam family "Bacterial small subunit ribosomal RNA", at positions 524 to 776 of the family's 1533-position model. The record is from RNAcentral.